GGCUGUGGAUAAAGACUGUGAAGACUGCACAGGGUCUGAUCUAGGGAGAGGCCAACUCUGAUACCCCUAUGUGCGCUGCUAGGAGCUAAGGACAUUCAGCUGAUACAGAGUGGAGUGCUGAGAACCUGCUGUGACAGGAUGAAGGAUCUGUGUGUCCCUGGCCCUUUUCAAGGUGGCAAGCAGGGACCUGAACUAUUUAACUACAAGUCAUAAAGUCCAGGAAGAAGAUGUGAGCACAGGCAUCGCAUCUCCUCUACCUUGGGAAACUCUGCUCCUUUUAUAAGCCUCCCAUGCCAAUUUCAGUACUAUUUCCCGACACCAGCCAGCCUUUGUGAGGGUCUCUGGAGUCACUCCUACAAGGUCAGCAACUAUAGCAGAGGGAGUGGCCAGUGCAUCCAGAUGUGGUUUGACUCAACCCAGGGCAAUCCCAAUGAGGAAGUGGUGAAGUUCUAUGCUUCCUUUAUGACAUCUGGGACUGUGUACCAUGCAGCAAUACUUCUUGUGCCCAGCCUGGCCCCAGUGCUGUCAUUAUGGCUCCCUGACUGAGGCCAGUCUUCUCCUCUAGCUACCCUUGGUCUCGGUUGGUUCAACUCUUCAAAGAAUAAGGAAGUCUUGAGCCUGCUUCCACCCCUCUCCUCUGCCAUCCAGUUCCUGAUCCAUGUUGGGGCUUGGGGUUUCUACAACAAUCAUUUUCAAUAAAUCUAUGACACAUCU
This 714-nucleotide long non-coding RNA is filed under the name Rattus norvegicus (Norway rat). Its description in RNAcentral is "long non-coding RNA NONRATT002998". The record is from RNAcentral. Lineage: Eukaryota; Metazoa; Chordata; Mammalia; Rodentia; Muridae.